This is a non-coding RNA of Meleagris gallopavo (turkey), 447 nucleotides long. The record is from RefSeq and is a predicted model, not a curated record. NCBI's taxonomy places the organism in Eukaryota, Metazoa, Chordata, Aves, Galliformes, Phasianidae.
GGAGCUAACACAAUAUGGGGAUGACAGUGUAUCCAGGACACACCAUGAUACAGCAUCUGGAAUACUUUGGUGGGCAGUACACCUACAGCACAGAGUAAAGUGACAGUACAGGAGCAUGCAAUCUGCUUCAAAUAUCUGCCAGUCUUCAAGUUCACGGUGUUGACAUCUCUCUGCAAGAUUGAGAGUUGCAGAACAACUGAAUAGCAGAAAGCCAAAGCCUGAAACUUAACAGCAUUUCAAACAAUUAACUGCCUCGUAAGACAUCCCCAAAGCUGACUGGAAGCAUGAACCUUCGCGAAACGCUGCUACUAAACAAUUACUUGGACACAAAAUCUGUAUGUUGGUCAAAGCAAGCAGCAACAUCUGUUUUACACAAAUUUCUUUGCAAAACAUCAGGAAAGAUCAUUAAAAUAAAUAAAAACAACCACACACAAACUGACAUAACAC